GCCAGCAGUCAUAUCACCAUCCAGCUCACAACUGGCAGCCCACUGAAGCUCAGCAGGCAUGAGCCUGGUCAGUACUUGGAUGGGAGACCUCUUGGGGGAAAAAAGGUUACUGCUGGAA
This 118-nucleotide ribosomal RNA is filed under the name Lepisosteus oculatus (spotted gar). Lineage: Eukaryota; Metazoa; Chordata; Actinopteri; Semionotiformes; Lepisosteidae. The record is from RNAcentral.